This 468-nucleotide ribosomal RNA is filed under the name uncultured bacterium. Its description in RNAcentral is "partial 16S ribosomal RNA". It matches the Rfam family "Bacterial small subunit ribosomal RNA", at positions 28 to 507 of the family's 1533-position model. The record is from RNAcentral.
GACGAACGCUGGCGGCGUGCUUAACACAUGCGAGUCGAACGGAAAGGCCCUGCUUUUGUGGGGUGCUCGAGUGGCGAACGGGUGAGUAACACGUGAGUAACCUGCCCCUGACUUUGGGAUAACCUCAGGAAACUGGGGCUAAUACCGGCUAGGAGCUCCUGCUGCAUGGUGGGGGCUGGAAAGUUUCGGCGGUUGGGGAUGGACUAGCGGCCUAUCAGCUUGUUGGUUGGGUAGUGGCUUACCAAGGCUUUGCCGGGUAGCCGGGCUGAGCGGGGGACCGGCCACGUUGGGACGGGAAUGCGGCCCGGACUCCAACGGGACGCAAGGGUGGGGUAGGUUGCACAAUGGGCUGAAGCCUGGUGCAGCAACGCCGCGUGCGGGAUGACGGCCUUCGGUUAGGAAUCCGCAUUCGCCUGUGACGAGGUGUGAGUGACGGUAAUGGGUGAAGAAGCACCGGCUAACUACGUG